CCAUCCCUUCCUGCCCGCUCCGCGAGGCGCUCUCGGCGGGUGUUUCUCGGCCCCCGGGGGCCGCGAGGGCGGCGGUGCCUCGGACUACUUUUUCCUCCCCUCGGAGCGCGGAAGGAUAUUGCAGCAGUGGCGCAGUGACGGCACCGCGCUCCUUCCUCUCGCCCCCCCUCCCGCUCCGCACGGGGUUUCCCACCCCGGCCCUGCUGCGGCGCGGGGGAGGGGAGCGCGGGGCGCCGCGCGGAGGGGUCAGUGCCCGGCGUGGCCGUGUCGUGCGAGCAGCCCGCGCCGGUUGCUUUUAAAGCUCACCCCGUGCAGUCCGAGGAUGGCAGGGCAGAGCGGCUCCCUCGGGUAUCGCGGGUUCGCCUCCCGCUCCCCACGCACAGAAGCGCCGGCGCUGUGCAGGACGGCUUCCCCGUGUCACCUCGCGCCGAGGGGCCGGCAGAGGGGAGAGGGAAGAGCGGCAGCGGGUGCUGCCCGGCCUGCUUUAUGCGGGGGAAAACGGCACCCUGAGGUGGUUCCGCAGAGCCGCCGGGGAUCCUGCCCCUUGCUUUCACGUUUUGGAAAAACGUGUUGGUGGUUUUAAUGCGUCCCUUGGGUUCUACGGUAGGGUGUUCAUGGAUGUUUCUGAUGUAGGCAAAUAAUGCAAGUUGUAAGCCAUCGUUGGUGCCCUCUUUAAUCGGCGCGCGUGAGUCACCUCCGAAACUUGUUUCCAUAGUGAUUCUAUAGGAACAAGAGCAGCGCUUGGAAAACGCGACCCUUUACUUGUCAGGAAUGCUGUGCAGAAUUGUCUAGAACAUCUGCGAGGAGAGGCAGAACGUACCCGUGCUGUGUAGCGUCUGCUGGGGGAACACCUCACAAGUAACAGCACGUGCCAGAAUCCGAGCUGAAUGGUACAACCGCGGGCCCUGCUGAGCUGCCCUGCUGAGCUGCCCUGCUGAGCUGCCCUGCUGAGCUGCCCUGCUGAGCUGCCCUGCGGCUCCCCUGCCUGCCCGUGUGGGCUGGGAGGGCUGCGCUGCUGCCGGGCUGCCGUUCACACAGCAGUGCCUCAGCGCCCUCCUGAACCACGGCCUGCACCUCUACAGUUUUGUAUUCCGCGUUGGUUUAUUUGCAAGAACGCGUGGAAAAGCUUUCUUUUUUAGGACGUUUAGGAACGUCGGCCAUCGUUUUUCAGUCUUCGAAAGCCCCUUUAAAAAACCUGUAGGCUGCCAUCUCAGAAGCAGGUGUAGCGUUGAAAGGUCAGACUUUGCCACUGACAGCACCUGGGACUGAUGCUGGGAUUUGCUGCAUCCUCUGGCUUUGAAGCUUUCUAAGCUUCGUGCUGCCAUCUCCAUUGAAAGUUUGCUCGAGGCCCGUGUUUGUGUUAUCAUCGAGCUGAAGUGAUACCAGAAAGAUAUUAAAUAAUAGCUUUGUCUGUGCUGCUGUCAUUAGGAUCCACAGCCGCAUCUAUAUGUGCACGCUGUGCACUUGGGUAGAUGUCUCCCCAAAAGACAAUCUUGGUGAAUCAUGAGAUCUUUGGUGGGAAUGAACAGAACGACGCAUUUAUUAAUGCGGGGUAACAGAUGGACCAGCUAGUUUAGCAGCUGGGUUUCCAGUCAUUACUCAUACAGAUCAAAGUGAAGAAUGAUAUAUCUAAAGAAAGCAGUAGGAGUUGACGCCUCCUGAAGCUGAGCUCUAGUUGAGCAAUCCCUUGGAAAUUUCAGAAAGCUCCUUUUAGAAAUCUCCUACCAUGACUUGAACGUACCAUGAAGCUGUCACGUACUUCUUGGAAAUCCUGGAAGACCCUGAAGUCUCUUCCUGCACUUGUGCACAAGCACUUCCAGUCUUGUGCUGCAGCUGGUAUCGUGCAUUCAAUAAUUCCCACAGCUAGCAGGGCAGAGAAACAUCGUACACAGUUUAUUCAAGGUGGUGCCCCAGUACAGCUGCCCAGGUUCUCCCAGGAUGCAGUGAUGCAAGCACAGCCAGCACACAGAAGGAAAGAGAAAGAAGCGCGAACCGUAAAGAACUGCUGCCUCAGAGCUGCUGUUGCCAUAGAGCUUCUAAUGAGGAAAAAAACUGCAGCAAGGAUUUCUGCUGCUGCUGAAGGUAAGAUGAGGGCACGCAAAGGCUGUAAGAGGGGGUGGGGAGGCAGAGGGAGGGAGAAGAGGAAGAAAGUCUGCGUCCUUGCUGUCUAAAAAAGGAAAUUCAGUUUCAGUGUACACGAGCAGAAUUGCUGGUGCAGAAGAACAAAGCUAUCUCGGUUGUUUAGGGUAGCAGGAGUGAUGAGCAAGCAAGCGCAUUCCUAUGCUUUCAGGAGGAAAUGCUGCAAAGAAGGGAGGAGAAGCAGAGCUAUCGUUUAGAAAAUACUGCUGCUUCCAGAUACCUGCUUCUUGGCACUGUGCUGGCGUUAGGAUUGUUCCCCAGGGUAAAGACAACUGUGAAAAAAUCAGAGAGAUAAGCAGGAAGUAAAAUUAGUGCUGAAAAUGUUCAGCAUACGCUUACAAAUUCUGUGGCUCUGUAUUAAAAUGUGUUACGUUCAGCAGUACAGUACUGUGAAGCCUUUCAAAAUGCAACUGCAAUUGUGGUUGUUUUUUUACAGUGAAGUUGUUACGAUAAAUUAAUCCUUUAUCAGUCUUUAAUGCUGAAUACAAAACUGAGAUCAGACCUGCUUUCCGUGGAACUUCUUGAACAUGGAAAGCUCUGUGGAAUAAGACUCUCCAUGAUCUCUGCAGAAUUACCCACAAAAUUCUCAUCCCAAAAGCUGUUGUCACUGUUUCUGCGUCUGUUGUGUCACAUAUUGCAGCUUUUUGCUUUUGCUUCCCUGUUCAUUCUCAGUUUCUUGUCAUUUUCUGACAUGACUUAAGCCAUGUGCCCUGCUCAGCAAACCCAGCACACCUGCCAUGUUUUCACAGCAGGACCCUGAAGAGAAUAAAACAGCUUUUAGAGGGUGUACUAAAAGCAAUGAUAACACUGAGUUUCUUAGCUACGCUGAUAGAAGUGUGUUUAUAUUGCUCAACCACCUGCUCAAUGUAUUGAGUAUGCUUGGAGAGAACAGAAUUGUCAGUUUCCUUUGCAAUUUCUUAAUUUGCACUUUAUCACCACUUAUCAAAUGUUUGACUGUUUCUCCUGGAAUUCUGUCUGAAGAUUGGCACAGAGUGAGUUUUUCCAGUAGCAGCCUGAUAGAUUGAUCGAGAAUCAUCAGUACAGGUUAUAAAUAAAAGUGUAUUUGAGAUUCUGAUUGCUGUCAGCCUUACAGUCUCUCACUGACAUGGUUAUUCUGUGAGAUUAUAGCAGUUGUAUAAGCCAUUUCUGAGUUGAGAAUUGCACUGCAAAAGAUCUAUUGAUUAUGAACACAUCAGUUGCUGUUUCAGAGGUACGUCAUGAGGAACAAAUGUGUAAGUGUACUACUUAGGAGUUUGACUCAUUUUGUGAGUCACACUCAUUUUGUCAGUCUCAUGCACAGCAGAUAGGCUAUCUGCAGACUUUGGAACCAUUCUUACCUACAGCAGUCCUCAGUGAAGCCAGUGGUUGAUGACAUCCUAUUAAGAUUUGCAUGGAUUCCUUGAGCUAACACAUGAAGAUGAAGUCUUAAUCCAUGAUUGAGGUAACCCUUGAUGAUACAAGCAUUUAGUUUGAUGUCAGUAGGAGGCUUAGUGAUUUUCUGCUCCAAAGGGUUACUAGUAUCUUGUUGGAGUGAAUAAUUAUGUAUCUGAGUUCCACACACCAUUAGACUGUGCAUUUCAGAGAAGUUCAGUCAGCUUGUGGAUCACAUUACUUGGAGUUCUUCAGAGAUCCCAAACAAUACCUUAGUCAAGUAUGAUUCUAUAUAAUAAACACCCCAUAUGACAAGAGAAGGUGAUGGGAGCUCCUUCAAGCAGGAUACAGGCACUGCAGAGCAGUAACAGGUAAUUAAGAAAGAAAAUUGGCUUUCUACUUCUGCCACCAGAAACAGCUCAAGAGGAAUGCAAUCUUUAUUCAGCUGCUAACCCUUGAAUGAGGGUGAGGAGGAGUGGAUUCCAGCUCCACCCCUUCCAGUCACUUACGUGCACUGCUUGCAUCUGAGCUCCCUGGUGAGCCAUGACUUCUCAUCUGGCAAUUCCACUGCACCCCUUGUAGGGAGUGACUGUCUAAGGAGGAAUGAGUGAUCCUUAAGUAGACUAAAACUUAGUUGGCUUAGAUAAGCACUUGGUGGGAAGUUACUGUUGCACAGUCCUAGAUCAACUUAAUGUAAUUCUACAUCUACAAAAAACAGACAGCUAGAAGCACUCAUGUUGCUAAUUGACAGAUUAUUCUCAGACAGGGGUAAGUAUCUUUUGCAUAACGUACAUAUAUUUAUUUUGUUGCAACUGAUGGUGUCCAAGUACAUAUUUAUUCUGCAAAAGUGAAAACCUACUGUAGUGCUAAUGCAGCAAUGUCUUGGUGUGUGAAGUGGAAUGCAGAUACUUUAUGACCUUCAGAUCAAAACUACUCUGUCUUAAGCUGUGUAAGCUACAACUAUCGUGUCUAUAAGCUUUUGUGGAAGUUUCAGAGGUGUUUUGAUUGUGUAUAUGUGGAAAAGGGAGUUGAUCUAAAUCUAGCCUAAACAAAGGAGUUAUUUAUAAAUCUGUUAAUCUGUCCAUGUGUUUGUAUGGAGCUUCGAAGACAGAGGAGAUCUUGUACUUCAUGCUUAUUUUCCUUCUUCUUCAAUCUGGGUUAUAAUGUGAAAGUGUUUAAGAAAAGAAUGAAGUAUGGCAAAACUUUGCCCAGAACACUCUGCAUUUGGGC
Non-coding RNA from Phasianus colchicus (ring-necked pheasant), 4740 nucleotides. The record is from RefSeq and is a predicted model, not a curated record. NCBI's taxonomy places the organism in Eukaryota, Metazoa, Chordata, Aves, Galliformes, Phasianidae.